This 498-nucleotide ribosomal RNA is filed under the name Clostridium sp. A7-16. RNAcentral's name for it is "bacterial SSU rRNA". It matches the Rfam family "Bacterial small subunit ribosomal RNA", at positions 8 to 521 of the family's 1533-position model. Lineage: Bacteria; Bacillati; Bacillota; Clostridia; Eubacteriales; Clostridiaceae. The record is from RNAcentral.
AGAGUUUGAUCCUGGCUCAGGACGAACGCUGGCGGCGUGCCUAACACAUGCAAGUCGAGCGAUGAAGUUUCCUUCGGGAAAYGGAUUAGCGGCGGACGGGUGAGUAACACGUGGGUAACCUGCCUUAUAGUGGGGGAUAGCCUUUCGAAAGGAAGAUUAAUACCGCAUAAGAUUGUAGUAUCGCAUGAUAUAGCAAUUAAAGGAGCAAUYCGCUAUAAGAUGGACCCGCGUCGCAUUAGCUAGUUGGUGAGGUAAUGGCUCACCAAGGCGACGAUGCGUAGCCGACCUGAGAGGGUGAUCGGCCACAUUGGGACUGAGACACGGCCCAGACUCCUACGGGAGGCAGCAGUGGGGAAUAUUGCACAAUGGGCGAAAGCCUGAUGCAGCAACGCCGCGUGAGUGAUGACGGCCUUCGGGUUGUAAAACUCUGUCUUCAGGGACGAUAAUGACGGUACCUGAGGAGGAAGCCACGGCUAACUACGUGCCAGCAGCCGCGGU